UGUCUAUGGCGCAUGCGCUUAACAGAAAUUGGCCCAUGGCGGCCAUCUUCGAGAAAAGUGCACGCUCUCUAAAUUACGUCAGAUUCGGUGAGCACGCUUGACAACAUGUCUGGAUUUGAGGAAGUGGGUAUCGCCGGGAGUAUACACCUUCGGGAGGCCCUCACCAAUUGUACAGAUCCCCUCCAGGCCAUUGAGGACUUCCAGUCGGAAAAUGGCAUCCUCCUCCCAACCCUCCAACCUGCCCUUCCUCUCUUGGAUCUCCACAUGAUUCGACGUUUUGAGUUUCACCACUCUAUCAUGGAAGAAUUACGCGAGAAACUCAUGUCCCGGACGCAGGAGCUUGCAAACAGUGACACCAAGGGACGCUUCAAGACUAUAGAGGAUCUCCUCUCAAAGUGCUUUCCAUUGAUAAGGGUCAAGAGCAUCCAACCCGUGGUGAUGUCUGUUAUGAAAUGUCUUCCAAAGAUUCCAGAGAAGUACCUGACAGUUCUUGUGGAAGACAGGAGUCUCUAUGAUGUGGCCUCCAUCGAGGUGAAGCAACAGAUCUGGCAGCGGAACCCGUCUCUUUUCGGCGACGAGGUCUCACCACUCCUCACAGACUACAUCAAGAAUAAAGAGUCGGUGCUGUUUGGUAGCGAGGCAGUGAACUCUCAGAUGUUCUUUCUUGUGUCACCAAAGAUGAGACGGCAGGGCCAUGUGGUCCAAAAACUCACAAAAAUGGUCGGGAAGAGUGUGAAGCUCUUUGACAUGGUGCUGCAAUUCUUGCGGACACUCUUCCUCAGCACCAGGAACAUGCAUUACUGUACACUAAGAGCAGAACUACUGAUGUCUCUACAUGAUUUGGAGAUCCAUGAAAUUUGUACUGAGGAUCCGUGCCACAAGUUUACCUGGACCUUAGAUGCAUGUGUUAGGGAUAGACAGGUGGAUGAUAAGAAGGCCAAGGAGUUACAAGGAUUCCUGGAUGGUGUGCGAAGGGGACAGGAACAAGUCCUUGGUGACCUAUCUAUGAUCCUGUGCGAUCCCUUUGCUGUACACACUCUAGCAACCAGUGUUAUUCGUCACAUGACCAGCCUCAUCAGUCAAGACAAACUUCCAAGGGACAGUCCAGAUCUGACAUCUCUUCUCCGCAUGCUCUCGCUUGGUCUUGGUGCUUGGGAUAUGUUGGACAGCCAACGAUUUAGAGAACCCAAGUUGGAAAACGAUCUCGUCCUGAAGUUCUUGCCAGCACUCAUGUCGCUCCUCGUCGAUGACCAGAUGAGAAUUGUCAACCGCCGUCUCAAUGACACCGGCGACGACACGGACCUGAAGACACUUCCACCAUUCCUCCUCAAGUACAUACGAAGGAACAAGAUCGGUGCAACGCUCAUCCUGUACUAUGCCUUGCAUGUGACCAGUAAACGGAACAAAGAUGCCCUCGCCAGGGUCCUCCCGAACAUUGUCAAGAUGGAAGGGGAUUUAUCAUUCAAUGACAUCUUCCUACACCCUUUUGUUGCCCAGUUGUCUGUACUCCUGGAUGAGUUCUCGUCCGAUUCCUUCUGUGAGAUAGUCUUUGAUGGAUUUUUGCUUCAUGGAGCAUCCAGGGAGAAUGUAGCAAGGCAUUCUUUACGAUUGAUGGAGUUUGUGUUUCAUAAGCUGCCGGCAGCUAAGCUCUCUAAGCUACAGAAUUCCCUUGAACCUAAACCAGAGGAUUACUAACUAUCUGUGGUGGAUCAUCAUCUUCAGUCUUGGCUUGUGCAUGCAGGUGGGCUAACCAGCUUUUGAGGUCAUAAGGUCAAAGCACAGCCAAGCAGUACGUGAUCUGUAUGGCACAGUGAUGGAGAAGAUUAGCUCCCAUAAACCCAGUCCAGUCAAAGUCCCCGAGCC
Molecule: unclassified non-coding RNA, 1863 nt
Filed under: Lytechinus variegatus (green sea urchin)
Lineage: Eukaryota; Metazoa; Echinodermata; Echinoidea; Temnopleuroida; Toxopneustidae
Description: negative elongation factor B-like, transcript variant X2
Source: RNAcentral